This 28-nucleotide non-coding RNA is filed under the name Bombyx mori (domestic silkworm). Lineage: Eukaryota; Metazoa; Arthropoda; Insecta; Lepidoptera; Bombycidae. The record is from RNAcentral.
UGAACGCUUGAUGGUUACUUUAAGGCAA